This 253-nucleotide ribosomal RNA is filed under the name uncultured bacterium. Its description in RNAcentral is "partial 16S ribosomal RNA". It matches the Rfam family "Bacterial small subunit ribosomal RNA", at positions 524 to 776 of the family's 1533-position model. The record is from RNAcentral.
UACAGAGGUCUCAAGCGUUGUUCGGAUUCAUUGGGCGUAAAGGGCGCGUAGGCGGUGCGGUAAGUCACCUGUGAAAUCUCCUGGCUCAACUGGGAGCUUGCAGGCGAAACUGCCGUGCUGGAGUGUGGGAGAGGUGCGUGGAAUUCCCGGUGUAGCGGUGAAAUGCGCAGAUAUCAGGAAGAACACCCGUGGCGAAGGCGGCUCGCUGGGACGGUACUGACGCUGAGACGCGAAAGCGUGGGGAGCGAACAGG